RNAcentral lists this unclassified non-coding RNA (2267 nucleotides) under Hevea brasiliensis (rubber tree). Lineage: Eukaryota; Viridiplantae; Streptophyta; Magnoliopsida; Malpighiales; Euphorbiaceae. The record is from RNAcentral.
UGUUAUCUGGUUAAUCUUUGUUUCACACUAGUAAAUCAAACAUCUUUUACAAUAUGCUGAAAGGAAAAACCUAACAAUCGCAAAAUUAUAACAAAAACGACAUACUUGACAAGAGCCAACGAUUUGCUGGAUAUCACAGAAGUGACAAUUAAAAAAAAAAGAAAAGUUGUUAAAAGAAAAAACAAUGUUCAUUCUUUUGUGUAUCAUUGUGUCACCAGAGAUGCAUGAUACAGUAAUUCUGUUUACACGCCACAACACAUGAUUUUACAUUUGAUUAAAUUCCAAGAAAGGAAAACCUAUACCAUAAAAACAUCAAAAGCUCAAACCUUACACAGAACUCCUACCGGCUGCACUCUUCGAUAAAUUCAUCAAAACAGGCAAAAUGAUCAGCUCUAAUCAAGUUCUCUUAUAAACUGAAACAUCAGGGCAAGGAAAGUGUACGUAAUUCACUUAAUCUGAUAUGCUUCACCUACAAUAACCUCUUCACAUUCACAUCAUAAUAAUCCUAAGCGGCAAUUCCUCUAUUUGCUUGUCUAUUGGCAACACUAUAACCAUCAGUAUAACCAGCAGCAAUUUUAGUCACACCAUCUGUAGCUGCAUUUCCAAGCCCGAAACCAAAUGAGCCAGAACCCUCUAGCCCCAAAGGUGAAGAUCGCCAUGCAGAAUCCCCAUACAACAAGCCAUUAUCAUAAAUAUCUGCACAAGGUACAUCAUGAUCAUCAUGUGAUGCAGCAUGAGAUGAAACUAGCGCAGCACUUGUCCCACUGUUUCUUCCAUAUCCUACCCCUCCAAGACCAACACUGAAAUCUCCACUAUUGUAGCUAAGAUUGCCACUGCUAUAGGCAGAGCCAGCACUGCCACCUUGUCCCGAAUUAGCUGAGGAAUCCCAGAGUCCUCCAACACUGCCAAAAGAACCGAUUCUUGAAUUCCCAGUUCCAGUGCCCAUAAAAGUACUAGACUUUGUGGAGUUUGAAGCAUGAUUAAUACUUCCAUUGCUCCACAAAGUUCGAGCUGUUGAAUUUAAGGCAGAACUAUUUCCACCAUUGACUCCGUUGUAUCCAAUAGGGCUAUCAAACCUUCCUGAAAUUCCACUAUAUGAAGGACUCAAUCUCCCAUAGCCAAGGUUAGAACUUAGGUUGGAAUUUCCCCCAUAACUAGGAGUCAACCUCUGGUCAAAAUGCAGCCCCAUCCCAAAACCAGGACCAAACGGAGAAAAGUUACUACGACCAACAGUAACAGGACUAAACCUACCAUCCAUUCUAACACCAAGUCCUCCAGUUGAGUUUGUCAUGUAUCCCUGAGUCUGAGUGUAACCAUUCAGGAAGCUACCAAUUCUACUUGGACCAUAACUAAAUCCACUUAACUGGCUCCGAGUUGGACCUGGUGAUAAUUCUUUGGGAACAGCCCGCUUGACCUCAACCAUUUUACCAUUAAGUUCAUGAAAUGUUUUAUGCAGAACUCUGUCCACAGCAUCCUCAGAAUCAUAAGUGAUGAAGCCAAAGCCUCUUGGCCUCUGUGUGUUGUGAUCAUACAUCACAACAACAUCGGUGAUAUUGCCAAACUGCUCAAAGUACUUCUUGAAGUCACUGUCUGUAACUGUAGAAGCCAGACCUCCAACAAAAAUCUUUUUGGUGCGUCCAGGACCUAGAGAAGCAUUAAUACUACUAGUGUUUCUAUUCAAAAUGUGCUGAUCAUCCCUUGGAACAGCCUUCUUUGCUUCAACUGUGCGUCCAUCAAUCAUGUGCUUAUCCAUAAUGACCCUCUCCGCAACAGCAGGAUCUGCGAAGACCACAAAACCAAAGCCACGGGCACGGCCCGUAGUUCUAUCUCUCAUGAUCACCGCCUCCACCACUUCCCCAUACUUGCUAAAAUAUUCCUUCAGACGUUCCUCAUCAGUGUCCCAUGAAAUCCCACCAAUGAAGAGCUUACCAAGAUCUGAUUCCAUCUUUUCCUUAUAUGAUAAUAAAGAUAGAAUCUGAUUGGUGCCCAAUCAAAAAGUUGAAGUGGGUAUUUGUUAAAUCCAAUCUGGGAUCAUUUGAUGAUCCUAUAACCAAUCAGAACUCAACCCAGAAUCCUGAUUGUCCAAACAAUGAGAAUUAAUAAUAGAAUUGAUCCAGAUCAAGAUCAAUAAAAUGUUUGGCAGAGAUCGGAAAAUAAAAGACAAAGAAUUUUACCAUUUUAGAGAGGACCAGAUGAGAAACUAAGAUCUAACAAUAAGGAUUGUGGAAAUGGAAACAGAGGAGGAGGUGCUCAUGCUUUCUCUCUCU